This 116-nucleotide ribosomal RNA is filed under the name Jaculus jaculus (lesser Egyptian jerboa). Lineage: Eukaryota; Metazoa; Chordata; Mammalia; Rodentia; Dipodidae. The record is from RNAcentral.
GUCUAGGGCUACACCACCCUGAACACACCUGAUUCCACCUAACAGCAGAAGCUAAGCAGGAUUGGGCCUGGUUAGUAUUUGGAUAGGAAACUGUGAACCUAAGUAAACCCUUUUCU